CCUACGGGUGGCAGCAGUGAGGAAUAUUGGUCAAUGGGCGAGAGCCUGAACCAGCCAAGUCGCGUGCAGGAUGACGGCCCUACGGGUUGUAAACUUCUUUUGUCAGGGAGCAAUUGAGUCCACGUGUGGUCUUAGCGAGAGUACCUGAAGUAACAGCAUCGGCUAACUCCGUGCCAGCAGCCGCGGUAAUAUGGAGGGUGCGAGCGGGAUCCGGAUUUAUUGGGUUUAAAGGUUGCGUAGGCGGAAGAUCAAGUCAGCGGUAAAAAUUCGGGGCGCACACCCGUCUGUCCGUUGAAACUGAUGUUCGUGAGUGGGCGAGAAGUAUGCGGAAGGCGUGGUGUAGCGGUGAAAUGCA
This 355-nucleotide ribosomal RNA is filed under the name uncultured bacterium. RNAcentral describes it as "partial 16S ribosomal RNA". It matches the Rfam family "Bacterial small subunit ribosomal RNA", at positions 338 to 690 of the family's 1533-position model. The record is from RNAcentral.